Molecule: ribosomal RNA, 253 nt
Filed under: uncultured bacterium
Lineage: Bacteria
Description: partial 16S ribosomal RNA
Rfam family: Bacterial small subunit ribosomal RNA
Source: RNAcentral
GACAGAGGAGCCAAGCGUUGUCCGGAUUGACUGGGCGUAAAGCGCACGCAGGCGGUCACGCGCGUGGGGUGUGAAAACUGGCGGCUUAACUGCCAGAGGCCAUCCCAUACGGCGCGACUCGAGCCAUGCAGAGGUCCACGGAAUUGCCGGUGCAGUGGUGAAAUGCGUAGAGAUCGGGAGGAACACCCGCGGCGAAGGCGGCCACCUGGACCAGACCUGACGCUGAGGCGCGAAGGCCGGGGGAGCGAACGGG